GUGAGUCAUCGAAUCUUUGAACGCACAUUGCGCCCGCCAGUAUUCUGGCGGGCAUGCCUGUUCGAGCGUCAUUUCAACCCUCAGGCCCCGCCUGGCGUUGGGGAUCGGCGCGGCCCUACCCGGGCUGCCGGCCCCGAAAACUAGUGGCGGCCUCGCUGUAGUCCUCCUCUGCGCAGUAGCAACGCUCGCACUGGAACUCGGCGCGGCCACGCCGUAAAACACCCCACUUCUGAAAGUUGACCUCGGAUCAGGUAGGAAUACCCGCUGAACUUAAGCAUAUCAAUAAGCGGAGGA
This 294-nucleotide unclassified non-coding RNA is filed under the name Hypocreales sp. RNAcentral's name for it is "partial contains 5.8S ribosomal RNA, internal transcribed spacer 2, and large subunit ribosomal RNA". The stretch from base 1 to 71 matches the Rfam family "5.8S ribosomal RNA", at positions 84 to 154 of the family's 154-position model. Lineage: Eukaryota; Fungi; Ascomycota; Sordariomycetes; Hypocreales. The record is from RNAcentral.